GACGAACGCUGGCGGCGUGCUUAACACAUGCAAGUCGAACGGAAAGGCCCUGCUUGCAGGGUCCUCGAGUGGCGAACGGGUGAGUAACACGUGGGUGAUCUGCCCUGCACUUCGGGAUAAGCCUGGGAAACUGGGUCUAAUACCGGAUAGGAGCCAUUUUUAGUGUGAUGGUUGGAAAGUUUUUUCGGUGUAGGAUGAGCUCGCGGCCUAUCAGCUUGUUGGUGGGGUAAUGGCCUACCAAGGCGGCGACGGGUAGCCGGCCUGAGAGGGUGGACGGCCACAUUGGGACUGAGAUACGGCCCAGACUCCUACGGGAGGCAGCAGUGGGGAAUAUUGCACAAUGGGCGCAAGCCUGAUGCAGCGACGCCGCGUGGGGGAUGACGGCCUUCGGGUUGUAAACUCCUUUUGCUAGGGACGAAGCUUUUUGUGACGGUACCUAGAUAAGAAGCACCGGCUAACUACGUG
This 465-nucleotide ribosomal RNA is filed under the name uncultured bacterium. RNAcentral describes it as "partial 16S ribosomal RNA". It matches the Rfam family "Bacterial small subunit ribosomal RNA", at positions 28 to 507 of the family's 1533-position model. The record is from RNAcentral.